Fukomys damarensis (Damara mole-rat) is the source of this 5074-nucleotide long non-coding RNA. RefSeq lists it as uncharacterized. NCBI's taxonomy places the organism in Eukaryota, Metazoa, Chordata, Mammalia, Rodentia, Bathyergidae. The transcript has 2 exons. The record is from RefSeq and is a predicted model, not a curated record.
GGUACCCAACAAAGGCGUGUCCCGACAGAGGCUGAACCUUGCAACUGAAAUUGCACAUUAAGUUACAGAAGCUGAGUCAGGAUUCCUGAGGGGACCCUCUGUGGAAGAGCAGGAUGAGCUCUUUGGAACCAUGAGUGUGUCUCCUUCCCAGGGAAGGGGAGGAAAAUGCAGCGCCCCCCCUCCAAAAAAAGAGCUGGAUUCCCAGAGAAGGAAGGAAGCCAGGGCUCAGUGUUUUCUAGGUUAAGUAAGACCUGCUCCAGCUUAGGUCUGGAAACCAUCUAAAGAGGAGAAAGAGAAGGCAAGGCAGGAAGAGUCUCCUAUUUAAAACGCAUGCUUCAUGUUCCAGCCUCAGCACGAGUCCCUUUAGCUGAAACAACAUGGGACUUAUCUCUCCUGAACAAUUAUUCUGACAUCUCUAGAGAAAUGUUCUUUGGUGCUUUACUCCUAAUAUUAAAAAUCUAUGGGAAGAAAAAAAAAGAAUAAAUAUCAUCAUUAAGUCUUUGAUUCUUAAUGAGGACAGUGCCGGCCUCCUAAGAGGUAUUUGGAAAAAGUAUGUUACGAUUGGCAUUUGGGGUUACUGUUGGCAUUCACUGGUGGGGGCUGAGAGGUAGCCCACAUGAUGAAAAAUUUUCCCCACACAUCAAGGACUUGAGAUUUCCUAUCAGACACUUACGUGGGUGCAAAACAUCUGAGCUAAGAAUUCAUCUACACUACAUAUAAACACAAUUUAAUAUGUAAUCACUUUUUUAAAAAAGGAAUAACCACAUAAAUCUGGAGACUUUGGAGCUUUGUUUGGUUUGAAUCUUUACCAUGAGUUGUUGAACAUCUCAGAAAAAGUCAUGAAAUUGAUGACAACCUCACCCAUAGCAUUUAUUUAUUUUUAUUUAUUUAUUUAUUUUGGUACCAGGGAUAGAACUUGGGACCUUGUACUUGCGAGGCAUGCAGCAGAAGCACUGAGCCAAAGCCCCAGCCCUCACCCAUCGCAUUUAAAUCAUGAACAGAACACAUUUAAAUCUGUCUGUGAUAGGAGCUUGGCGUUCCUUGAGUCUACAUAUAAGGGCAAGCAUCUGUUCGCUUCAUCGUUUCAUCUACUAGGUGUGCCCAAGGCAUUUCUAUACCAAAGUGAAUAUUAUUUUAUUAUAAAGAUGCUUCCUUUAUAUCUUCACAUUACCAUUUUAAUCACAUUUUAGACAAAUUAUAUCACUUGUGAAUUUAAUUUCAGCAGUGAAUAGGGGUUGUUCUCCAAUAUUUUUAUAAGAAGGGAGCUGUAUUAGGCAGCUCCAUGGUACUACAGUAAAAUAAUUCCUUCUACAAAGAGAAAAGUUUUAUUUAGCCCAUGGUUGGGGGUUCCAAAGUCCAGGGUCUGGCAGACCCACUGAUUUGACCUCUGGUGGAAAGGAAGGAGAAUAGAUGGAAAGAAAGAAGAAAGGAAAAAAGAAAUCUGCUUCAGAAAAAUGUACACAGAUGAUAUCGAUUAUAUAAAAAUACACACAUUCAAGACAAAGGUGACUGAACCAUAGCAAUCUCAGGGCUUAUGGGCAACCCAAAGUGCCCCCUCUCAGAAGUUCAAGGGCCUUUUGUCAAUGUUUAGUACAGCAAAACACUUAGAACUCAUCAUUUGGUAAAGCAGCUACAACAAUAAUCUGGCUCACUUUUAUAGUCCAGUUUGAGAAGGAUGUUUUCUACACAAAAGAUCAAACUGUACCCAGCCUCACAGUUACUCCCUAGGUCCUCACAGCCUGAGGGACAAAUGACACAUCGCUACGGCACCAGGCUCUGUGCACCCUGCCAGCUGGUCAGUUGGUCUCCAGACCCAGCCCUCUACGGGUCUCCACGCCCCCACACAGCUGUUCAGGGCUCUGCUCCCACAGCUAUAUAUUCCCUGUUGCUGCUGUCCAUCUGAGCUGCUGCUUUGCCUGUGCCCAUAACCUCAUCUCCCUACCAACAUCCUGCCUCUCCCCAGCGUGGCAGAAUGAACAGUCCCACCUCCAAGGAAUGUGCUCUUUCCACCCACUUUGGAUAGCAGAUCCUUUAAAUGAUUGCAGAGACCUGUUUUCCAUAGGAAGCACCCUUCACACGGGCAUCUCAUCAGGAAGGGAACAUACUGAAAAAGCUUUAUUGAAGACCAGUGAUCUUAGGAGUAUUCACACACCUUCACUCUUUCCAUACCUAGACUCAAAAUUUCUGCCUUUCAGGAAUCCAGGGAGGCAACAUUCUGUAUCACUCCUGUAUUUUUGAAUAGUGUAAACCCCAGGAUCCCAAGAACCUGCUCAUCACUACCAAAAUAGUCACAUAAAGAAGACUCCUGGUGUCCACAUGGAUCGGCAAGUGUUACGUGUGGUGGGUGCCUAAGAGCCUGAAUUCUGGUUUCAGACCACCUGGGUUUGAAAGUGACCUUUGUCAUUACCAGAUGCAGAACCUUGAGUUGGUUACUUGGCCUCCCUGGAAUUCAGUUUCCUUAUCUAUAAAAUAAGUGAAUCACAUAAAUUCUCAUAAGAUUAAACUGCAGAGUAUGUGGAGUUCUGACUGACACAGAAACUGUAGGACUUCCAGUGCUCGGACCCAGGCCACUGGGAGAGGUGUACAGCCAAGCCUGCUUCUAACUUCCCUGCACAGUAGUGUGCAUUUGAAAACUUGUUCUCUGACCUCUGUGCCUUUGCAGAAACUUUCCUUAAGAAUGUGAGAAUUGCUCUGAAGUGUUGCUGGGUCAGUCGUGACUUUGUUUCAAGGAGUCACGUAGACAGCACGGAAGGGCCCUUAAGAGAAUGGAAAAUCUUUCCUCUGAUCUCAAGUAAGAUCUUAUGCCUGCUCAAAGCCAAGAGAGAUCAAACAUUCUCUAAGUUCACAUGGCAAGAAAAGGACAUGAUCAAAGCUAAAGCAAACUCAGGAUUGACCAAAAAAAAUCUAGGACAUUUGGCCCCUUGCGUUGUACAGUAAUAUUGGCAUUAGACUCCCAUCUCCUCAAAAGCCAGAGGAGCUUCUCACAAUAGUUACACCUCUUCACUGCUCUUGCUACAGACCAGUUACAUUCAGCUGCUUCGCAAAGUCUUAGUGAUAAGGUCAUGAACAUUAUGAUAAUGACAAGGUAAAUGCGUAUCUUUAAGCUCUGGGAGUGGCAAAAAGGCAGUGAGGAUUGUAUUCCAGGCUGGACGAGUGAUCAACCAAAAGGAGACAAGUCCUCAGAAGAGAGCAAAAGGCGAAUAAAGAGCUGGACAAAUGUCAGAGCCCCUUCCGGACAGAUAAUAAACUUUUAGCAGAAGGCCCGCCCCACCAGGAGGGCUGUGGGAGAGGCGAGCCCUGAGGGAGACAAUGGGAAAAGGCAAGGGAGAGACGGACGUUGACCUUUCCGGUCAGUGCAGUGAGGCUGAGGGAGGGUAUGAAGCAAGCUCACGUCACAGAGCAGAAGCUCAGAGGCACGGGCACAGAUCAGAAGAGCACACAGCAGGAAGCGAACACAUUAAACAGAGGAAAAGGCGGAAAACUGCAGAGCUUAGUUGAAAUUUCACCUGUUUCAUGUCCCUUCCAGAUGGCAAGUAGCAGAACAGAAAACACUGACUUAGAUGCCCAUACCUGUUCUUUGCACCUCAUAGCCGCCAUCUAUGUCUCCCUUAACUACGUUGGCUGUUCUUACCCUUAUUCCUCUCCCCGGGCAUUUGACGAGUCUGAGCCUACUCCAUUGCCUUCUCCCCACUACCUUCUUCAAGGCCUGCCUAGCUCCAUGCCUCUCCUUCUCCACUGCCAACCCCAUUUCUCAAGGUCCUCCCAGCACAGACACUCCAGUUGGCCAAACAAAAGUCUAAUUCAGCAUCAUGGUUUCUAAAGCAUUUCCCCAGGGACAGAAGUUUAUCCAAGAACCCUACUUUCACACUGAGAUACAUUUAACAACAAAAAAUCAGGGUGAAAAUUCUACCAAUAUGAUUGAAGUGUCAGCAGGCUGGGUCUGAGAGGCCCUUAGGGCUGAAAUAAGGAAUUCAUGCUAUCUUUUUAAAAAGAUGUUUGCAGGUUCACUGACUCCUGUACAGAAAAAGGAAUUUUUAGGACCCAAUAGUAUACAAGGCCAGAGAAGAGUUUAUCAGGAUGAACUCAAGAAUGGAGAAAUGAGACGCAUUAAGAGCAGGAGUUGGGUGCAUUUAAGGGAGUGUCUUCAAGAUGAAUCAUCUAGUUUGUGUAUUUUUACUGUCUCUCAGGUUGCAAGACAAGCUAUCUACACACGUAUGAGGUUGAGAUCUGCUGCCUGCUGCCAGUAUUACUGCUUCCUAAAGAUGGAGGACCCAGGCGCACGAUUUACAGGUACUGUCUGGCUUCUCCCACAAGAAUGUCAGCUUGGUGAGGCCAGGUUUGUGAAGCUGCUCCUUUGUCCUCUACUGCUGGAUCACCAGUGAUUAGAAUGGUUUUCAGCUCACGGGGCUCGGUAAAGUUUUAAUUGCAUGAAUAAAUAAAAACUACCCCAUUGUAUGGUGCAGCCACCUGCCUCGCAAGUGCAAGGUGCUGAAUUCGAUCCCCAGUACCAAACAACAACAACAACUACCCAGUUGUAUUCACACUGUCAGGCCCAAUACAAAGGUCACCUUUUGCCACCUUUAUCCUGCAGACGUUAAGCUUCCUGUAUUCCUAGGGCUCUCUGCUUCUACCUCUGCCAAAGGUGUCUUCUUUUUAGAUACAUCUCCCUGCCACCAAGGGUAUGGGAGCAUAGAAGAUAAUGAAUCCUCUGAAGAUGCUUAGUCUCAGAGAGGUUGAGAAAUGACAAGCAUUUUACACGUGGGAGACAGAGCCAGGAUUCUGCUGAACCUGAAUCCAAGGCUACUUAGCACUCUCUCCAUUACCCCCACUUGCUCUCAAAACAAACAAAAAUUAAGUAAAUAAAACACACAAUAUAAUGCAUUUCAGGCUUAAUUUCAAUCUAAUAUAUAGGAAUUCCCAAGAAUCGUGUUAAACUAAAGCAAAGAGGGAGAUGGAACAGAAAGAAAGGGAGAGAGAGAAUGGAAGGAGGAGGAAAGGAGAACAAGAAAAGAAGAAUGAAGAAAGGAUAACUUCAUCCACUUUUUCCUAACUGAUGUCCUGUCCAGAGGAUGCA